UGGUCUUGAACUCCUUGAUGUUCCUGCCUCCACCUUCCAAGUGCUGAGACAGAGGGAUGGCCACCAGGCUGAGCUCUCCUGCUUGCUUUUCAUUGUGAAAUCAAAUUAACCUCCGUCAAACUUAGAGGAUCUAGACUUCUUCCCCAUUGUUCACGUCUGUUUUUUUUCUUUCUUCUUUUCCUAGCAGGUUUUAUAACUUUGACCCCAUGUCUCAGGUCACUGCUCACUCAGAGAUUCUGAGAAAACCAGUAUUAUCUCAGCCACGAAGGUGUUUGUUCCUCUCACAAUCUGGCGCUUGGAAAGCAAAUGGAGAAGAUCCCACAGAACAGUUUUUGGCCAGCAAGAAAUCAGUUGAGUAGGCAGGAUAAAGAGAGAACGAACAAACGGAGCCAGGAACAUCACAACGGAGCUCAGCCAAGGCUCAGCUCUCCAAGCAGCUGCCAAACCCUUUCCCAGCUGAAUGAAGAUUUCACGUUUUUUGCCUCCGCUUAUGGGGAGAAACAUGGGGGAAGGUCCAGCUCUAUUUAUUACCAUCAUUUGACUGUUGGCUCCAUUAACAUCAAGAGGUUUGAGUCCAACCACACUGACUUCCUGGACACUGUGGAGUGGGCUGCUCUGCUAUGAAAUGAGACCAUCAACCAUCUUGCCCUCCAGGAUGUCAACAAUAACAAGGAAAGUCACCACUGAUAGGAACAGUCAGUUUCCAUAUAUCCUUAUCCAAAAUGUGAUGUGCAGCGUGCACUGUCCCUGGAAAAAUAAUGAGAAAUAUGACCUGCUAA
Molecule: long non-coding RNA, 779 nt
Organism: Peromyscus eremicus (cactus mouse)
Lineage: Eukaryota; Metazoa; Chordata; Mammalia; Rodentia; Cricetidae
Exons: 2
Source: RefSeq, a predicted model, not a curated record